Molecule: transfer RNA, 74 nt
Filed under: Crassvirales sp.
Lineage: Duplodnaviria; Heunggongvirae; Uroviricota; Caudoviricetes; Crassvirales
Description: tRNA-Arg
Rfam family: tRNA
About the family: Transfer RNA (tRNA) molecules are approximately 80 nucleotides in length. Their secondary structure includes four short double-helical elements and three loops (D, anti-codon, and T loops). Further hydrogen bonds mediate the characteristic L-shaped molecular structure. tRNAs have two regions of fundamental functional importance: the anti-codon, which is responsible for specific mRNA codon recognition, and the 3' end, to which the tRNAs corresponding amino acid is attached (by aminoacyl-tRNA synthetases). tRNAs cope with the degeneracy of the genetic code in two manners: having more than one tRNA (with a specific anti-codon) for a particular amino acid; and 'wobble' base-pairing, i.e. permitting non-standard base-pairing at the 3rd anti-codon position.
Source: RNAcentral
GGCUGGUUAGCUCAACAGCAUAGAGCAGAGGUUUCCUAAACCUCAGGUUGGGGGUUGGAGUCCCCCACCAGCCA